Molecule: ribosomal RNA, 402 nt
Filed under: uncultured bacterium
Lineage: Bacteria
Description: bacterial SSU rRNA
Rfam family: Bacterial small subunit ribosomal RNA
Source: RNAcentral
UGGGGAAUAUUGCACAAUGGGCGAAAGCCUGAUGCAGCAACGCCGCGUGAGUGAUGAAGGCCUUCGGGUUGUAAAGCUCUGUCUUCUGGGACGAUAAUGACGGUACCAGAGGAGGAAGCCACGGCUAACUACGUGCCAGCAGCCGCGGUAAUACGUAGGUGGCACGCGUUGUCCGGAUUUACUGGGCGUAAAGGAUGCGUAGGCGGAUUCUUAAGUCAGAUGUGAAAAUCCCGGGCUUAACUUGGGAACUGCAUUUGAAACUGGGUAUCGAGAGUGCGGGAGAGGAAAGUGGAAUUCCUAGUGUAGCGGUGAAAUGCGUAGAGAUUAGGAAGAACACCAGUGGCGAAGGCGACUUUCUGGACCGUAACUGACGCUGAGGCAUGAAAGCGUGGGGAGCAAACA